GCUUGUCUCAAAGAUUAAGCCAUGCAUGUCUAAGUAUAAACGACUUUAUACUGUGAAACUGCGAAUGGCUCAUUAUAUCAGUUAUAGUUUAUUUGAUGGUCCUUGCUACUUGGAUAACCGUAGUAAUUCUAGAGCUAAUACAUGCAUAAAUCCCCGACUGCUUGGAAGGGGUGUAUUUAUUAGAUGGAAACCAAUCGCGGGGCAACCCAGUAUCUGGUGAUUCAUAAUAACUUUCGGAUCGAUCUUCGGGUCGAUGCAUCAUUCAAGUUUCUGCCCUAUCAGCUUUGGAUGGUAGGGUAUUGGCCUACCAUGGCUUUAACGGGUAACGGAGAAUUAGGGUUCGAUUCCGGAGAGGGAGCCUGAGAAAUGGCUACCACAUCCAAGGAAGGCAGCAGG
RNAcentral lists this ribosomal RNA (396 nucleotides) under Mallomonas akrokomos. RNAcentral describes it as "partial small subunit ribosomal RNA". It matches the Rfam family "Eukaryotic small subunit ribosomal RNA", at positions 30 to 432 of the family's 1831-position model. Lineage: Eukaryota; Synurophyceae; Synurales; Mallomonadaceae. The record is from RNAcentral.